CAAGUCUUGACAUCCCUCUGAAACCUCUAGAGAUAGAGGCGGCCUUCGGGACAGAGGUGACAGGUGGUGCAUGGUUGUCGUCAGCUCGUGUCGUGAGAUGUUGGGUUAAGUCCCGCAACGAGCGCAACCCUUGAUUUUAGUUGCCGGCACUUUGGGUGGGCACUCUAGAAUGACUGCCGGUGACAAACCGGAGGAAGGCGGGGAUGACGUCAAAUCAUCAUGCCCCUUAUGACUUGGGCUACACACGUACUACAAUGGCUGGUACAACGGGAAGCGAAGCCGCGAGGUGGAGCCAAUCCUAUAAAAGCCAGUCUCAGUUCGGAUUGCAGGCUGCAACUCGCCUGCAUGAAGUCGGAAUUGCUAGUAAUCGCGGAUCAGCAUGCCGCGGUGAAUACGUUCCC
This 401-nucleotide ribosomal RNA is filed under the name uncultured bacterium. RNAcentral's name for it is "bacterial SSU rRNA". It matches the Rfam family "Bacterial small subunit ribosomal RNA", at positions 975 to 1375 of the family's 1533-position model. The record is from RNAcentral.